GGGGAUAGCCUUUCGAAAGAAAGAUUAAUACCCGAUGGUAUAAUCAGACCGCAUGGUCUUGUUAUUAAAGAAUUUCGGUUAUCGAUGGGGAUGCGUUCCAUUAGGCAGUUGGUGAGGUAACGGCUCACCAAACCUUCGAUGGAUAGGGGUUCUGAGAGGAAGGUCCCCCACAUUGGAACUGAGACACGGUCCAAACUCCUACGGGAGGCAGCAGUGAGGAAUAUUGGUCAAUGGGCGCAGGCCUGAACCAGCCAAGUAGCGUGAAGGAUGACUGCCCUAUGGGUUGUAAACUUCUUUUAUAUGGGAAUAAAGUUUUCCACGUGUGGAAUUUUGUAUGUACCAUAUGAAUAAGGAUCGGCUAACUCCGUGCCAGCAGCCGCGGUAAUACGGAGGAUCCGAGCGUUAUCCGGAUUUAUUGGGUUUAAAGGGAGCGUAGGUGGACAGUUAAGUCAGUUGUGAAAGUUUGCGGCUCAACCGUAAAAUUGCAGUUGAUACUGGCUGUCUUGAGUACAGUAGAGGUGGGCGGAAUUCGUGGUGUAGCGGUGAAAUGCUUAGAUAUCACGAAGAACUCCGAUUGCGAAGGCAGCUCACUGGACUGCAA
This 601-nucleotide ribosomal RNA is filed under the name uncultured bacterium. RNAcentral's name for it is "bacterial SSU rRNA". It matches the Rfam family "Bacterial small subunit ribosomal RNA", at positions 139 to 739 of the family's 1533-position model. The record is from RNAcentral.